This 1177-nucleotide long non-coding RNA is filed under the name Gossypium raimondii (Peruvian cotton). RNAcentral's name for it is "long non-coding RNA (GRAI_LNC010234)". Lineage: Eukaryota; Viridiplantae; Streptophyta; Magnoliopsida; Malvales; Malvaceae. The record is from RNAcentral.
UUAGCCUGGACUGUAUCCCGACAAUACUCUGUGAGUUUAUAUUACAGGGGAUUUAGCCUGGACUGGUAAUCCCGCUGUAAGGAUGAGGUUUGCGGGAGUGUGCUCUCUGAAAUGGAAAUGUGCGCACAUGAAUAUGAAUUGACGGACCCGGAUUUGUACACUUAGGUGUACCCCUGAAUAUCCAUCGAAAUUCCAAGUAGUUCAACGGGAUAAAUAUGGAAAAAUAACAAGGAAAUGGAAAUCAUGGAAUUGAUGAGCUCAUCAAUCAUUUAUCUUUGUAAUGAAUUUGUAUGAGGUUGAGUUUGUAUGUGAUAGGUAUAUGUUUAUGUGAAUUGGAUGUGUGCUUGUGUUAUUAAAUGAUGGAUGUAUAAGUAUGGUAAGUAUAAUUCCUGUUGCAUGAACUUACUAAGCACAAAGUGCUUACCCUGUUUCGUUUUCCCCUGUUUGUAGAGUUAAGAGCUCGGAAGUCGGAUUUGGUCGGAGACACAUCACACUAUCAAUCUCGAGAUCUCGGUACAUAAAGGAACUUUAUUUUGGAAAUCAAUGGCAUGUAUAAGCUAGUAAAUUAGAUGUUAAUGUGAAAUGAAUGUAUGGUUAGCCAUUGGUAUGGCUAACAAAUUUUGGUUUUGGUAUGUGAUGAAAUUAUCUUAUGAAUAUGAUAAAUCUAUCUUAAAAAAAAUUCGGUAAAAUCUGGUAAUGCCUCAUACUCUAUUUCGGCGACGAAUACGGGUAGGGGGUAUUACAAUUUCUCUGUCUAAAAUACAAUCUAUUGUCAUGGCUUUUAUAGCCAUAUAUUACACUAUUUAUUAAUUUUUCUGAUUUGAUAUUGUUUCUGCUGCUUCUUGUCCUUUCGUUCUUUCCGUUUUUGCAGGUGACGGUGGAGUCAACGACGAGCAGAAACCCCUGCCUUUUCCGUUUUGGUGCAAUGGCGACAGUGGCGCUUCAGGCCUCGGGACGAGGAGCCUCGAGCGACAUGCAAGCGAAGGGGGUGCAGUGCCAGAAAUUAGUUUAAAGUUUUUGGGCCAUUGGGCCCUUUCUUUUUUUGUAAUUGGUAUUUGUAAUUGGGCCAAUUUGUAAAUGAACUGUUAUUUAUUUGAUUUUGUUUUAUUAUUUUCCCGGGCAAAAUUGGGCUCCUAUAUAUAUAUUUACACACUAAUAAUUGGUUUUAUGCAUGCCU